CGUGCUUUUUCUAAGAAGGCCAAUGAAGAAGAAGAUGGGAUAACAAUUGAUCAUUUGCACAAAUUGAAUCCUAAGAAUGUUUCUGCUUGGAAUAUGAAGAGGCUGAUGAACAUAAUUCGAUAUGGUGCUCUAACCACACUGGAUGAACAGAUACGUGAUACUAGUCAAGAUGAUGAUGACUCUGCUACAAAGAUCAGAAGCGAAUAUGAAGCCA
RNAcentral lists this unclassified non-coding RNA (214 nucleotides) under Hevea brasiliensis (rubber tree). Lineage: Eukaryota; Viridiplantae; Streptophyta; Magnoliopsida; Malpighiales; Euphorbiaceae. The record is from RNAcentral.